UCCUACGGGAGGCAGCAGUAGGGAAUCUUCCGCAAUGGACGAAAGUCUGACGGAGCAACGCCGCGUGAGUGUUGAAGGCUUUCGGGUCGUAAAACUCUGUUGUUAGGGAAGAACAAGUGCUAGUUGAAUAAGCUGGCACCUUGACGGUACCUAACCAGAAAGCCACGGCUAACUACGUGCCAGCAGCCGCGGUAAUACGUAGGUGGCAAGCGUUAUCCGGAAUUAUUGGGCGUAAAGCGCGCGCAGGUGGUUUCUUAAGUCUGAUGUGAAAGCCCACGGCUCAACCGUGGAGGGUCAUUGGAAACUGGGAGACUUGAGUGCAGAAGAGGAAAGUGGAAUUCCAUGUGUAGCGGUGAAAUGCGUAGAGAUAUGGAGGAACACCAGUGGCGAAGGCGACUUUCUGGUCUGUAACUGACACUGAGGCGCGAAAGCGUGGGGAGCAAACAGGAUUAGAUACCCUGGUAGUCCACGCCGUAAACGAUGAGUGCUAAGUGUUAGAGGGUUUCCGCCCUUUAGUGCUGAAGUUAACGCAUUAAGCACUCCGCCUGGGGAGUACGGCCGCAAGGCUGAAACUCAAAGG
Molecule: ribosomal RNA, 580 nt
Filed under: uncultured bacterium
Lineage: Bacteria
Description: bacterial SSU rRNA
Rfam family: Bacterial small subunit ribosomal RNA
Source: RNAcentral